AAUCAACGCUGGCGGCGUGCCUAACACAUGCAAGUCGAACGCGAAAGGGGCUUCGGCCCUGAGUAGAGUGGCGAACGGGCGAGUAACACGUGGGUGACCUACCUUCGAGUGGGGGAUAACGUCCCGAAAGGGACGCUAACACCGCAUAACAUCCUGCCUUUGAACAGGUGGAGAUCAAAGCUGGGGAUCGCAAGACCCGGCGCUUGAAGAGGGGCCCGCGUCCGAUUAGCUAGUUGGGAGGUAAUGGCUCACCAAGGCGACGAUCGGUAACCGGCCUGAGAGGGCGGACGGUCACACUGGGACUGAGACACGGCCCAGACUCCUACGGGAGGCAGCAGUGGGGAAUUGUUCACAAUGGGCGCAAGCCUGAUGACGCAACGCCGCGUGGAGGAUGAAGGUCUUCGGAUUGUAAACUCCUGUUGCUCGGGACGAAAAGCUUCGACCUAAUACGUCGAAGUCUGACGGU
This 466-nucleotide ribosomal RNA is filed under the name uncultured bacterium. RNAcentral's name for it is "bacterial SSU rRNA". It matches the Rfam family "Bacterial small subunit ribosomal RNA", at positions 32 to 476 of the family's 1533-position model. The record is from RNAcentral.